UCCUGUGCUGUGGGCAGUUUCCAGUUUGCUCUGUGUGCUGCUGUACUGGGGACCUCAGAAGAGGUAUUUCAGCACCUUAGCUCAGGCAGGGCAGGGGUGGCAGGUCCUACUCCCUGUGGGACAUGGAGAUCCAUUUGUCUCUUCUGGGAGACCUUCAAAAGACCUUGAAGGACAUCUCUUCAGGGCCUCACUCUCAAAUGAAGAAAGGGUCCUUUUCCUGAAGCAGAGCCGUGCGGUUUGCAGCUCACCAAAUCCUCCC
Pezoporus occidentalis (night parrot) is the source of this 259-nucleotide long non-coding RNA. RefSeq lists it as uncharacterized. The record is from RefSeq and is a predicted model, not a curated record. The transcript has 3 exons. NCBI's taxonomy places the organism in Eukaryota, Metazoa, Chordata, Aves, Psittaciformes, Psittacidae.